RNAcentral lists this transfer RNA (69 nucleotides) under Trichonephila inaurata madagascariensis. Its description in RNAcentral is "tRNA-Arg". The stretch from base 3 to 62 matches the Rfam family "tRNA", at positions 7 to 64 of the family's 71-position model. Rfam says of the family: Transfer RNA (tRNA) molecules are approximately 80 nucleotides in length. The record is from RNAcentral. Lineage: Eukaryota; Metazoa; Arthropoda; Arachnida; Araneae; Nephilidae.
UUGUAGCGCAAUAGAUAGCCCGUUGGACUUCUAAUUCAAAGGUCGUGGUUUUGAAUCCCACCUGGAAAG